RNAcentral lists this ribosomal RNA (500 nucleotides) under uncultured Glomeromycotina. RNAcentral's name for it is "partial small subunit ribosomal RNA". It matches the Rfam family "Eukaryotic small subunit ribosomal RNA", at positions 591 to 1092 of the family's 1831-position model. The record is from RNAcentral. Lineage: Eukaryota; Fungi; Glomeromycota.
CCAGUAGCGUAUAUUAAAGUUGUUGCAGUUAAAAAGCUCGUAGUUGAAUUUCGGGGUUAGUAGGCUGGUCAUGCCACCGGUCUGUACUGGUCUUUCUGAUUCCUCCUUCCCGAUGAACUGUAAUUCCAUUACUUUGGUGCUGCAGGGAAUCUGGACUGUUACUUAGCACAAAUUAGAGUGUUUAAAGCCGGCUACCGCUUGACUACAUCAGCAUGGAAUAAUGAAAUAGGACGCUCGAUCCUAUUUUGUUGGUUUCUAGGAUUGACGUAAUGAUUAAUAGGGAUAGUUGGGGGCAUUAGUAUUCAAUUGUCAGAGGUGAAAUUCUUGGAUUUAUUGAAGACUAACUACUGCGAAAGCAUUUGCCAAGGAUGUUUUCAUUAAUCAAGAACGAAAGUUAGGGGAUCGAAGACGAUCAGAUACCGUCGUAGUCUUAACCAUAAACUAUGCCGACUAGGGAUCGGAUGAUGUUAAUUUUUUAAUGACUCAUUCGGCGCCUUACG